This 476-nucleotide ribosomal RNA is filed under the name uncultured organism. RNAcentral describes it as "partial 16S ribosomal RNA". It matches the Rfam family "Bacterial small subunit ribosomal RNA", at positions 333 to 800 of the family's 1533-position model. The record is from RNAcentral.
ACACUCCUGCGGGAGGCAGCAGUGGGGAAUUUUGGACAAUGGGCGCAAGCCUGAUCCAGCCAUGCCGCGUGCGGGAAGAAGGCCUUCGGGUUGUAAACCGCUUUUGUCAGGGAAGAAAAGGUUCUGGCUAAUACCUGGGACUCAUGACGGUACCUGAAGAAUAAGCACCGGCUAACUACGUGCCAGCAGCCGCGGUAAUACGUAGGGUGCAAGCGUUAAUCGGAAUUACUGGGCGUAAAGCGUGCGCAGGCGGUUAUGCAAGACAGAGGUGAAAUCCCCGGGCUCAACCUGGGAACUGCCUUUGUGACUGCAUGGCUAGAGUACGGUAGAGGGGGAUGGAAUUCCGCGUGUAGCAGUGAAAUGCGUAGAUAUGCGGAGGAACACCGAUGGCGAAGGCAAUCCCCUGGACCUGUACUGACGCUCAUGCACGAAAGCGUGGGGAGCAAACAGGAUUAGAUACCCUAGUAGUCCCAUGA